Cyanidioschyzon merolae strain 10D is the source of this 2335-nucleotide RNA transcript. RefSeq lists it as hypothetical. The transcript has a single exon. The record is from RefSeq and is a predicted model, not a curated record. Lineage: Eukaryota; Rhodophyta; Bangiophyceae; Cyanidiales; Cyanidiaceae.
GAUGAGGAGGAGGAGGAGGAGGAGGAAGAAGAUGAAGAAGAUGAAGAUAACGCCCACCUGCCUCCGUUUUCCCAUGAAAAUCGUUACCGCACCAACGUCCAAGGGCUGACGGCGGUGAUGGUGAAAGUGUUGGUCUUAGUAGUGUUGGUGGUGUUGGUGGUGGCGGCGGGUAGGUACGCGGCCAUAUCGGGUAUUCAAGUCCAUCGAAACAUUCUGUUGAUCGAAAAAACUCGGUUAUUGCAGGGUCAUCAAGUAUCGGAUGCAGCGUCAGCUACAACGUAUCCAGGGUGGUAUCCAGUGAAUGUUUGCACGUGGGGUUUAGCCGCUCUUUAACGCCCCGCCGUCGAUUCCUCGACACGUUUAUUUUAGGGUUGAUGUGAGGCGAUUCGUUUGCUGCUCGCAGAGCAUGCUGAGAUACUUGCGCGAUUUGAGGUCUUUUUCAUGGAGACUGUAGCCAACUGAGCAAUCGGGGGCAUUCGCUUCGAUUCAUGCAUGCGACGUUGGUGAUAAACAGAGCGCCAUUCAAGUUUGGUUGAGGCGAGACUCCUCAAGGAGCACUUUGCUUGGAUACAUGGACCGAUGAAGGGAGUGUGAAGAAUGUGAAAUCUUUUAUGGAGUUUUUGACCUUCGGCAAUCGCGCACCUGGAAAUUUCGAGUGCGAUGCACGAAUCCUACCUGAGCACAGCAUUGCGGGUGCAGAAGCCGUGCACGAGCACCAACUGAUGCCUUGGUGCGGUUGUCAUCGGGGAAGCGCUUCCUGAAACGCUAUUUUUGACCAAAUUCAUCGCACGAGCAUGUGAGCGUAAGAGCGUUUGGUAGCUAUUGUACAAGACGCAUACCCAUGACAGCGCAAGACGGUAUCUUUUGAUUGGGUAGCAUCAUAAGCGGGAGAGGGUAUCCCAGUUUGCGAACUGGUCAUCAGCAUGCGGGUUUUCAACUUUUCUUACGGGCCAGUCUUGGCCGCUGCAGCGAUAGAACGAUGCUCAUGCACUCGUGUCAGGUGAAAAAGGCGAACAGAACUUGUCGCUCUGUUCAGGUCUUUCGAUAUCUUUCCGGACUCGUGUUUUUUUUCGUGCAUCGCAUGGAUAUUCAACGUGCUGCAAUCAAGGUGUGUGGAUUCAUGCGUAGUUUUAGGAUGCUGGGUCGUCAGUUGGGCGUGGCCUCUUCCACGCUCUCCCGCUUAAGGUUUUUACGGAAAUGGAAUCAAGACGAUUCGCGAAGCUAUUGAACAGUUGUUCGACAAGUAACCGGUAUCUUUGACCGACCCGUAUCAACAAGCAUCCGUUCUCCCGCUUGCCUUACGAUCGACAUGCUUACAUUACGGAUUCUUCAAGUUUUCGAAUCUUUUUUUCUCCCUAUGCCAGCCAUGAGCGCAGCGACUCGAACUGUUGGAUUGUCGACCGGGCACCGUCGACACCGACGCUUGGGUUUCGUUCACGGGCUCAUGCUGAAGGCUCACUGAGCCAGUCACGACAAGAGGAUGGAUGUGCUUCAGGAGGUGAAUCCCGCGCUGUCUCUCUCUAGCGAAGAAACGGGAAUCGGCACCAGCGUGGUACGCUUUGUGGAGUACGCUACGAGAGCUUGCUUUCAAGUACAGAAUCUUCCCGAGCUCGGGCUUGAGUCAUCGCAGUGCUUGCUUCGUGUGUGCAGCGCGGUGACGGACGCUGGACACGAAUGCAGCGUUGACGGGUCGAGAUUUCGCGACUUGUUCUCCAGCGUGAGUGCUCCUUCCGGUCCCUGUCUCACGAUGAGCAACAUCGGGUCCCAGAAAAAUCCGCUCUCGAAUGAAGCAGCGUGGACGUGUGUGAGUCUGUGUAUCUGUGUGUCAGUAUGUGUCUGUGUCUGUAUGUGUGUCUCUGUGUGUGUGUGUGUGUGUGUUUGAGCGCGCACAGCAGUCAGCAUGCUCGCCGAGUGUAUCGCCUAGCGGAAGACCGUGUUCAUCGCGUACGGCACUGGGCACGGAAAUGGGGUCGUCCCCUGAGGUGAGCGUCCAGUGCAUGUGGCAGGCAGCACUCGGGGAAGCAGGUGCCCAGGACGUACGGGCAUACCCGACCAUGGUCACGUGUCAGUACUGUGAAGGGCGCAACGAGGAUCUACACGAAGCAAGUCGUGCAAACGGCAACCGAGGCGUAGAACGCAACUACUGUCUUUGCGCGAAUUCUGUCUGAAACAGCCGGAAGCGAUGAAUUCGGGACUUGAACACCGGCGACAGCAUUCUGAGACUGCUGACAACGCAGCUGGAGGAACAGGGGAAACCGGCGUAUGGCGAGCCAGAGAAUAUACAGAGAGAGAGAGAAGGGAAACAGUCGCAGAAACAUCCCGUAAAGGCCGACGU